Molecule: ribosomal RNA, 459 nt
Filed under: uncultured bacterium
Lineage: Bacteria
Description: partial 16S ribosomal RNA
Rfam family: Bacterial small subunit ribosomal RNA
Source: RNAcentral
CCUACGGGGGACAGCAGUGAGGAAUAUUGGUCAAUGGUCGGGAGACUGAACCAGCCAAGCCGCGUGAGGGAUGAAGGUACAGAGUAUCGUAAACCUCUUUUGUCAGGGAACAAAGGCGGGGACGUGUCCCCGGCUGAGUGUACCUGAAGAAAAAGCAUCGGCUAACUCCGUGCCAGCAGCCGCGGUAAUACGGAGGAUGCGAGCGUUAUCCGGAUUUAUUGGGUUUAAAGGGUGCGCAGGCGGUCUGUUAAGUCAGCGGUCAAAGCCCGGGGCUCAACCCCGGCCCGCCGUUGAAACUGGCAGUCUCGAGUUGGAGAGAAGUAUGCGGAAUGCGCGGUGUAGCGGUGAAAUGCAUAGAUAUCGCGCAGAACUCCGAUUGCGAAGGCAGCAUGCCGGCUCCACACUGACGCUGAGGCACGAAAGCGUGGGUAUCGAACAGGAUUAGAUACCCGUGUAGUC